CCACAAUCCUACAAAAUAAAGCUGAAAUAAAUCCUAUUUGGGUUUUUAUUGAGAUUAAAAAAACAUCAACAAAUAAAACAAAUAUUGACAUUUCACUUUAUUACAGCAAACUUUCCAAAUAUUUUCUCUGGAACAAAACUCAAACUCACAUUACCCUCAAAUUAAUGUUAGGUGGCUUCACAGACCUAUUUCUAAUUACAGAGAUAGAUGCACUAUGUUUUACAAUAUGUAUGUUUUUAUCUGUAUAGUGCAACUGCAUUGUCAAAAACAUUACAAGAUAAGAACAUUGAAUUAAUCGAAACAGCAUAGGAUAAGAGCAGACCAAGUUGAAAACAUGAAACUGAAAGAAACUUGUUACAGGAACGUGAAAUCAUACAAAUUAUAGAUUUUGCUGUGUACCUCAAUUACGAUUUUUAUAUGACAGAAAUUGCAAAGUUGCAAUGCAGUAUGAACUGAUAUUGUCAUGCACACAAUUCAUUAAAGAAAUUAAUAGCAGGCUAGAAGACAUGUUUAACAUACAUGCAAUCUUGAACAACAUUUACAUACAACUUCGCCCAGUCUGUGAAACCAAGCCAUCCACUUCAGGUGAAAGCCAGGUAAUAAAAAACAUGUAAAAAUAGUUGAUAGCUAACAGAUAAGUCUUAAAAAUAACUAUGAGUAUUGAUGUUUAGUGAAUUACAAGGAUGAUACUAGCUAACAAAAAACCCUCACAGUAGACAAUAACUAUACAUCUUCUGGGAGAUAUCUUAGUGAUGAUUGGAUUGGAAGUUUACAGUUACCGUCUUGACUCCACAAGGUGAAGUAUGCAAUGAAUCAAGUGAAAUAAAGUGCAACUAUGUUUAAUGGCACCGUCCCAAAUGGCACCUUAUUCCCUUUAUAGUGGUCACAUGUGGCUCAGUUGGUAGAGGAUGGUGGUAGAGCAUGGUUUGCAACGCCAGGGUUGUGGGUUUGAUUCCCACGGGGGACCAGUACGAAAAGAAGAAAAAAAAUGUAUGAAAUGUAUGCAUUCACUACUGUAAGUCGCUCUGGAUAACAGCGUCUGCUAAAUGACUAAAAUGUAAUAGUGCUCUACUUUUGACCAGGGUCCGUAGGCUCUGGUCAAAGUAGUGCACUUUAUAGGGAAGAGGGUGCCAUGACAGUGACACUAACAAAAUCUGUAUCGAAACAAAGAUAGCUGGGAAGAAGUUGUUACAUUCAAAGCUUUGGCAAUUAAGAGAAAUAAAAUUACAAGACAUUAGCAUUUUGAAAAUUGCAGACCCUCAGGAGAGAUAAGACAACAAUUAAAAGUAUGUUAUUUAUUUAUUACAAGAAACAAAACACUGAUUUAACCCAUUUUAGCUUCUUAUUUACCUAUAUGAGUAAAUAGACAAUUGAUUCAUACAUUCAUGAUCUUUCCCACAUUGUAACAUUUUGGAUGGAGAUGAAGGAACAUCUCGGUAAAAGCUCAAUGAGAAUAUCAUGACCAAAAGGAUGCGCAUGGAAUUAGAAACCGUAUCCAAAUGGGAUAAGUCUGCACAGACCAAUAUAUUAACAACUGUCAAUGAAAUUGUCUUCACAUCAUUCAAGCUAUGAAGGGGAAGAAAAAAAAAUGACAUGGUUUCCACAAAGCAUCAAAAAUAAUAGCAAGAGCAAAUAGACACGUAGGUUAAUUGAGAAAACUAAAGAGUUGGGUAAGAGCUAUCCCACUAGUAAAAUGUUAAAAACAUGUCCAUUCAUCCUACAAGAUGCUACUGAUAUUUUGUGUUUCCCGGCAACAAGGUAUGUUGUCUUGUUCAGUCUGCUCCACCUAGGUUCCUUUUACUUUAGAAACCUUUUUGGUUGAGCCAGGCUUCCUGCCUCCGCCUCUUAGAAACAACCCCCACCUUCUUUAUGAGCUGCCGCCACCUUACCAGGUUUGCUAGCCUUGUGACAACCACUGUGUGGUUUUAUUUCCUCUUCAAAUUGGACACAAGUCUUCGUCCUCAUCUCUCUCUGCAUCUUCAUUUUCCUCCUUCUCUGAAUCACAAGUUGUAUAAUCAACUUUCACAGAUGUUCUCCUGCCUCUUCGCCUCUGGGCUUGGAAGGCAGCUUCAUCUAACACAUUUGCUUUACCAUUGGUGCAGCGGUAAAGCUUUACUAUUGGAGAAACAGUGCACCCCUGUUUGGCUGGGGGUGCACUAUUGGACCUAUGCUUCUCUGCUGCUCUCUUGGCUUUGUUUGCUUGUACGGAGCCUAAGGGGCGGCCCCUCUUUUGCGGGGAACCAUCUAUAACGGGUGGCUUGGAAACUUUAGAGGUUGGAGGUGGGUUCUUCCGUAAGUGGGCACCUCUCCCCAUUGUUGCCUUGCGUGGACGGCCUCUUGCCCGUGGCUCAGCAGAGGUGGCUGGGGGAUCCAUGUAGGGGUGGAUGCGCGGCCUUCCGAGAGGCUUCCACACUCUUGAUCCCUUAGGUUGGCUUUUCAGUUUCUUUCUCUCUUCUUCCUCCUCGGUUGAUAGCGGGUUCUUCUUCGGCCUACCCAUUUUUUUUUUGGGUUUAACAUUUUGGGGCCGGCCAUGCUUCAGAGGUGCAGUUCCGAGAGGCUUCCACACUCUUGAUCCCUUAGGUUGGCUUUUCAGUUUCUUUCUCUCUUCUUCCUCCUCGGUUGAUAGCGGGUUCUUUCUCGGCCUACCCAUUUUUUUUGUUUGUUUAACAUUUUGGGGCCGGCCAUGCUUCAGAGGUGCAGUUGGCUCUGCUGAAACAGCAUUAGGGUCAACCACUUUACAUGGCCUGCCCCGUGGCCGCUUGUCUAGUACCCUCAGUAUCUUGGGUGUCUUAGAGCCUGAUCCUUUGGGCCUUCCCUUUCCCCUCUUAGGUGGUAUGGGGUUGCCAUUAGACAAGGCUUCACCUAACUCCUCAUCACUACCAGUAUCAGAGGCAAUUAUCUGUCCUUUUUCCGACACUGUUGCCUCUUCUUCCGACACUGUUGCCCUUUCUUCAGACAUUGUUGCCCCUUCCAUCAUCUGUUUUCUUGCUACCUGGCUCCUUCGUUCUUUCCUUCCAGCUCACUUUCUUGGAGGACUAGUGAACUACUUAGGGCUUCCCACUGUAAAACACACAUCUCGAGAAAGUUACAAAACAAACAAAUGUUCUUUGUGCACCCCUUCAUUGCUUCAUAAAACUGACCUACAUGGGCACGAGAAAGUGUAGCUAACAUGUAUUGCAACAUGCACAGCCUAAACACAGAUUUUAUGUUUACUGAUUUUUCAUUUAUGUAUAUGCUAAGGUGCACAAUACUAACAAAAUCUGAUAUGAACGUCUCCAUGACAUCCCUAAUUAAGGUUACUGCAUUGAAGCGAUUCUGAAAACUAGCCAGCUAGUAUCCUGAAUCAGUGAUUGUUUUGGUUAGUAGUAGUUAGCUAACUUUACCAGCUGUUCGAAGAAACAUAAUAUUAAUCUUUUAGGACAGAGUUUCCCACACUCUGUCCUACCCACCCCUGGGUGGACGUUUUGUUUUUUUCCUAAGCACUACAUAGCUGAUGGAAAUAAUCAAAGUUUGAUGAUGAAUUGGAUAUAUGAAUCAAAUGGGUAGUGCUUGCGCAAAAACAAAAACGUGCACACAGGGGGAGGGAGGGCCCAGGUCCGAGUUUGGGAAACCCUGUUCGACAAGUAACUAGUUAACUAAAUGGACUUGAAAAUAAACUAGAUAAUUUGCUAACUACGUAGCAUCGCCAGCUAUUUCGCUAGGUAGCUACCCAGCUAGUUAUCGUGACAAAGCCACCUAACUAGCUAGCUAGUUAAAUAAAGGUUAAAUUAAAUAAAAGCUAGCAAACAGUAGCACUAACGCUUGCGACAGCCAUGGAUAGCAAGCUUCGCUAGCAAGUUAAUGAAAAUACCACACUGCAGAAUACGCCUCACCUUGAUAAAAUCCUUGGUUAGAUAUCGUUUAAUCUCAUGAAAGUUCCUUGUUGUUAGCUAGCGAUGUAAAUUUCAAACGGAAUUUGUGGGGGCUGUUUUGUAAACCCCUACUACUAAGACCACUUUUUUUAGUUCCGUUCUGUUAGGUUGCGUCAAUUAAAUCUGGUAUCAGAACAGAAUUUAACACUAAGUCACUGAAUGUAUUCUCAGCUUUUUUAUUCAAUUUAAUUAGUCAAGCGAAUAAAUGGUAAAUGCAAUCGUCGUAUAUACGGGUUCACUGUAACACCUCGCAGGGCAAACAGAGAACUAACUGUUCACACACAGUUUAAAAAAAAAUACUCUGACAGAGUUCCCGCUCAGAGCGGGCCUGUCAGAGAAGAGGCUGAGCGUCGUUUAGACUUGCUCAGCCUAUCGCAGGCGCACAGGCUGGUCCCAGCCUCUUGGCGGUCACUGUUGCCAGGUGAAGUUGUCUUCCAGCUUAUCUUCGUGUUUUUCACCCAAAAAUCAGCAACCUGUUAGGGUUUAACCAACUAUUUGUUUGCAUAACCUAUAUAAUAUAACAAAGAAGUUAUGCUAUAAUAUUAAGUUUAUACUCUAUAUGAUAAGAGCAUACUGCUGUGUGAGAGGAAGUGGCUCAUGGGAUGGUGGGUCAUGUGGAAAGAAUGCAGAUGCUGUAAAUCAGGGUUUUGGAAGAGCUUGUUAAAAGAUAACGGCAAAUAACAGAAUAUGGGUGAAAUGUAUAUGCGGGGGGUGUCGGGGUUUUAAGGGAAAUAUGCAUUGUGCAGUCACAAGAUAAGUCAACUGCAAAAGACAAUAACUACACCCGGCAACAGGAAGUGCGUCACGAGGUUGGGACCAACCUGCACGCCGAUAGGAUGAGUAAGUUUAAACCAUGCUCAUUCUCCCUCACAGGCCAGCAAUGAGCAGGAACUAUCUCUGUCAGAGUAUAUAAGGGAGAACAAAGGAUGUGUCGCUCUCUUCUCUGUUUUGCCCUGCGUAGUGUUACAGUAUAUACGAACAACAUACUUACCACUCAAGUGUUUGCAUUAAUUAAAGUACAAAGAAAUCAGAAGUUACUCUGUGCUAACAAUUUUGUUCUGAUACCAGAUUUGAAUUGACGCGACCCAACAAACCCCAAGGACAGUGCCUGUUUUUAUGCUAGUUAUUCUCCACUCUAUCAGUUCCUCACGUACACAUGUCCUUGAGCAGUUUCAAAACCAGGCAGUGUGUGUGUGUGUGUGUGUGUGUCACAAGUCUAACUCAGCCUACACCCCUGCUGCACAGCAACCCUCCAGUUAGUCACGUCUAUUAUAUGUUGCUCAAUCUAUGUUAAUACAAUACAAACCUGUUAUGUUUAACAUUAAUGUAUUCACAAGCUAUGCACCACAUCUAGUUAAAUAAAAUAUAUCCCAACAAUCCCCCUUUUCACAUCUGCUGGGUGUGAACAUUACCCAGUAAGAAGAAUUUAGGAUUCCCCCUUUUGACACCCACUAGGGUGUCACUCACUAAAAUACAAUACAAACAAAAAGAAUCACACUUUUAUUAAUAGGAAUAACGAUAAUAGAAACCCUUCAGUCCUUCCAGCUACACCCAACUUUUACUAGGUUGGCUACCAGCCACCCAGGAACUUCAAACCCUCACAUUAGGAAAGACAAACAUUCACAAUAUUUAAAACUGAUUUGUAAAGCAGAAAAGCACAAACAGGGAAUUUUGAUUCCCCCUUUUGACACCCACUAGGGUGUCACUCCACCACCUCACCAAUAGCAAACCAAGGGUCAUCCGUAGCCAACCCCAUUUUCCUCCGAAAGUUAGACUCAGUGUCUGCAUCUCCUUCUUGAGCCUCCAGCAAAGGCAUCAUACCAGCAGCAUGCACGACAUCUGUAACAGACUUUCUCAGACAAGGCAUGAUACAGGCAGCAGAGCACAUCAGAAUUAAAAACACAAUUAGGGUCAGAAAUCCAGUAACCACCAGUGCAGCAUACUUACCAAACCACUCACCCAACCAACAUGCUCUUCAUUUCACCAGAUAGUUUAUCUAAACCAACUAGGGCUUUUGAAAUGCUCCCGUCAGGACUGGUAUUGUUAGGGAUAAACAUACAGCAUUGUUCACCAAACAUUUUACACACCCCGCCAUUAUUAGCCAAAAUCAUAUCCAGCGCCAGUCUAUUCUGUUUAGCAGUUCUAGUGGUAGCCUCUAGUUGCUCAGCCAUACCUGUCAGUGCAGUGCGAGUAUAGUUAACAAAUCUCUGUUGGUUAUAAUAUAUCCUUUUAUAUUAACACACACACACACAUCAGUAAAGAACUCCACCCAGCUUUAGGCGGCUGUAUUUUUCCACAGUACACAUACAUUCCUUAUCAACCUUGCCACCUGUCUUCUAAUCUCCUGCCCACUAGCCGUUCCCAGGCCGUUGUUACUCUCCCUGACUUAGGGAGGCAUCUUCCCCUGUUCCUUUCCCAAGGUCGCCCUGCUCAUUUUGAAGUGGUAACAGUGUCUUACUCACACACAGUAUUGGAAUAUAGUUUUUAACCCAUUAUUAUAGCCUUUAUAAUUUCAAAUACAUUUCAACGGGUUAUAUGGUUUCUGAGUGAAAUCAUUUAGUCAAACCUUUAAUCAUAUAAUUUCCAUUACAAUCCACCCGAUAGGCUAAAUAUUUCACACACACUAUAACACAUCUAUUUUUAUUGGAUUCAUAAAUUUCACACAAAAUCAAACUAAUUCGGGACAUCAAAGAAAACAAUUGCAUAUACUGUCAACACAUAUUUAUCGAUGACUGUUCUAAGCCUAUCUCCAAUCAUAACACUUCGGAUCAGGAUUUUUGUUAUGACCUUUACUUAAAGAAACAGUCUUCCUAAACUCUAAAGAUGGUCUCAUCUACCAUGGGCUCCUCCUAAUUGAAUGAAUCCUCCACCAGGCUCGGCGGUAGGUAUUUGUCGUCCCACUGGUCUGAACUUGGACUCGGUCCGUUUCUCACCAUCUGCUGCGUCAUCGAUCUCUCUAGAGUUCUGGUGAUUAAACCUUUCAUACUUGGCAUAUACUCAUCAAUCACACAAUAUCAACACACUCAUACAGGUGAAAGCAGCCCAUAAUACAGUUCUUACAACACUUUUCCAUUUCCCAAACAUGAGCUGUGUUAUCAGGAAUGUACGUGCAGCAAUGAACCUAAUCAUUCUACCCACACCGCCCUCUUUUGCCAAUAACAUAUCGAGAGUCAGUCUAUUUUACCAGGUCAUGAGGGAGGUGGCGGAUAAUUGGUCAGAGAACCUCUUUACCGCAUCCCCGGUUUCAUUCAUGAAUCUCUGUUGAUUAUAAAAGAUGUCAUUAAUCCAAUCCACAUUUUUAUUUAUUGUCAACCACCAAAAUAAUGUAGUGUUAAAGCCUUCACAUAUUUGAUUCAUAGCUUUGUAUUCAUCUGGAACUUCCCUGAGGAUGCCAAUAGCAUCCAUCUAGACAAAGCUACUCCCAUCCUGGUCAAAACUCCUCCUGUGCCUACUUUAGCCUCCUAUAACUGGCCUCUGAUGACUAACUUGAACUGGUUGGACCUAUAACCCCAGGGCGCAAGUUCCUAACCACCCUUUGUGGUAAUUUCUGUCGUAUGUGUCCUUUGCUGUUACUAGCCCACCCUUCAUCAGUUAGUUAUAGGUGCUGUGAGGUUCAGAAUUUUCUCCUGUACUUCUAAACCUAAGUCAGUCACAUUAACGAUCACCUUUCAGCCAUUAAAAUCAUCUAAGUUCUCGGUGCCAUUCUUGUAUCUAUAACACUGGUACUCAUCAGGAGUUAAGGUGAACCGAGGUGGGUUGGCUGAGUACUUCAAUCUGGCCAACCCCAAUUCCUGUACAGUUGUCUGCUUCCCCAGGAAAUUGUUUAAUGUUUACCUUAAAUUGUACAUCUUGAUCUUUUUUGAUUCCUUAUUCUGUACGUCACUCAUCAGUGUAUGGUAUAGUUUAUCUUUUCAUUCUUAUAAAUGACAACAGUGUCGUAUGAUUAGUACCGGAAGGUGGUGGAUCUGAAUGUAUCAGAAAGAUUAGACUAUGAUGCAGCUCAGAGUCUCUACUCUUCCCAAAAACCGCCAACCCUCUCCUGCCCUUAGUCGAUCUGCUAGGCACUGCCCUAUACUCACACCUCUAGGAGCACACACAUUGAUGCACGGUCGGGAUAGGGAAUCUUCGUUAAGGAGGUAACCCCCGGACCCUGUUGGUAUCGGUUCUUCUCCUAACUCUGUGUGUGAUCAGCAGUGCUCUGUUGUGUACAUACCUUCUUGCAGUGGAUAACAUGGACCCAAGUGACUCUCUCAGUUUUUCUAAUGGCAAAGGCAGUGGUUUAACAGAACCUGGUAUGGGCCUUCCCAAUGGGGCUGCUUCCAGUCUUUUCUCCUCAGGGACUGGAUCCACACCCAGUCUCCUGGUUGGAUUGAGUGAAUCACCUUCUCCUGUAAUUCACCUGUUGGACACAAAAUCUUGGACAUACGGGUUUGGUUAACAAACAGUCUUCUCAUGUGUUCUGCUAGUAUUUUUUCAACUUCUAUGUCUACCUGUUCUGGUAUCUCUAACUCCGGCAUUCUAUUUGUUCAACCUGAUUAGCUAAAAUGUCAUCCAUCAUUUAAAGAGAUAGAUCCUAGUAAACCAACUCUAGGGAUAAUAUCUUGACCUAAUAUUCUAGCUACCAUAAUCAUGUCCACCAAGUAAGUUGGGAACGCUUCUACCCAUUUGCUAUACUUAUCUAUUAUUGUUAAACAACCCUUCUUCCCCUCUCUUCGGAGUAGUUCAAUAAGGUCCAUUUCCAAAUGUUGGACUGGAUAUUUUUUUUAAAGUAAAUAUCCUCUAGGCCACCACUCUUUCCUAACUGCUCUACCAUCCUUCCCCCUUUAUUGAUACAUGGCUCAGGCCAUGUACCAAUAAUGGGUUGUUUCCAAAUAUUCACUAAAUGUCUCACUGUCUCCCUGGUUGCACUUCUGGAUUUCAGAAAAAUCAACAUGUCUUAAUAUCAAGAUUAUUCCAUAGCUACUUAAAUUUAUCUCGAUACCCUCAAUGAUCCUGGAUCACCUACAGAUGUCAUAUAUUCCUGUCCCGUUGGCUUAGAAUAUAUCCUAAUACUUGACAUAAGUCUACCAUUAUUAAACUUAUUCAACAACAAAAUAUAAUAAUACUAUUAUAUCAAUUCCACAGCCUUGUUGUGUUAAAUCUCUUCCACUGAAUACAACCACAGCUGACUACCUAAGGGAAAAUACUUACCUAGAUAAUGUAUAAAAAAUACUACUACUGGUCAAAAGAAAUUCAAAUAACAUUAUCAGAUCAAAAUGACUAAUCUGAACUACUCCACAAAGGAAAAUUAUUGUACCCUUCUUGUUCUAGGAAAAUAGACUUAAGGAAGCCUACCCUUAGUCUAAGGCUUUGCCCUUUUAGUCUUCUCAUUGGUUCAAAUUAUCAAUUGUGUCUAAGAACUUUAACUCCAUCAUAAUUAUCAGUAAUACAGAUUCCCUUCAAAUUAGUAUUACAAAUUACCUUAAAUUCACUAUCCAAAUGGCCCUCCCAUGAGGCUGAUCAGACCACAAGGGGGAGCCCUGAUAGAGGUCAAAAGUCAUACCACCCUUUCAAAAAUGUGUUUCUUACUUUAUUAGACAAAUUAAAGGAAAACCCUCAAACAAAUGAAAGGAAAACCGGCAAACAUUAUCCACAUGUUAUAUCCCAGGUUCCCAGAACUUCAUUAAAACUCUGAAAAUAAAACUUUUAAAAUUCCACGUGUGCCAGCCCCUUUAAAAGAUAUUGUGGCUCCUAGGUGUACAGAAGGAACACUAUUAGCUCUCCAAUUUAGCUUCCUGUGAUGCCUAUCGGUUGAGGGACUGUGUUGAUCUCCGGGGCGCUUUUCACCACAUAUCUUCUUUAGUUUCUCCAGCAUAGCCAACCCUAUGCGCUCUUUUAAUUUAGCCUUCUCCAUCGUUUCUUUAAAUGUGCCUGUACGCGGUUCCCCCUCCUGCUUCCACUCGGAAUAGGUUUUGUCUGUUUUUCGUUUUAGCGUUUCCAAUAUUUUACCGGGCUCCCCGUCGACUGGGAGUCCGUUGGGUGCAUUAAUACUACCUUCUUUUAUCCAUCCCUUAUAUAAUUUUCCCCCCCUUCUCUUCCACUCCUUCCCGUCUUUACCCCCAUUAGUUUCUAGUGCUGACUUCAAUGCUUUCAGCACCCUCUCGGUCUCCUGGUUGGUCAUAUUUAAUUUACGUUCAUAACAACCUAUCUAUCAAUGUUAAUUUGCGUCCCUACCGGACGUUUCUAACAUUCUUUAUUUCCCCAGCGCUAAAUGAUAUAACUCAGGUCGACCGUCCCCGACCUCUUAUUUACCCGCAGGUCACUCAAACUUGGUAUUAGUACGCCGACUUAAUACCCAAUGUACUUCAGUCAUUCAGUGGUUUCCUCAGUGUAACACAGCCUUACCGGACCUGUACCUUUAUCCGUAGAUCAUUCACACUUGAUACUAGUACGCCGACUUAAUAUCUAAUGUACUUCAUUCAUAUGAUUGGGUUGACCUCCCAAUCUUCAUUCAGUCUUGUAACCAGUCCCAGACUUGGUAACCACACUCAAACUUGGUAUUGAAUACCUAGUACAUUUCAAUCGCUGUUACACCUACAUCCACUCACACUCAUACCGGUUAUGUACGCCGACUAACCAAACACACACACACACACACUUGGUACUCUGUACCUAGUACAUUACAUUCACUUGUUAUAUCAUCAACAACCGAUCGGUUUCAAAAUUGCAUCCACCAUAAUUCACACUUCUUGUUAUCUUACUAUUAUUGUUAAUUAUUUCAAACGUUAUCAAUUAUAUAAUUUGGUAACUUACAUCAAACAGGUGUCUCACAAAUAAAUUUGGAUAACGCCAAUGUGCAGAACUUUAGUUAUUCACAAUAGGUGUCUGCUUACCUUUUUAGUUGACCGGUCAGGAUUUGUGAGGCAAACCAUCCGACGACAGCAAUGGCCAAUCGGCCGGACAAGUUCCAGCGAAGUCCUUCUACCAGAUCACGUCGGGGUCACCAAUUGUUAGGUUGCGUCAAUCAAAUCUGGUAUCAGAACAGAAUUUAACACUAAGUCACUGAAUAUAUUCUCUGCUUUUUUAUUCAAUUGAAUUAGUCAAGCGAAUAAAUGGUAAAUGCAAUCUUAGUAUAUACGGAUUCACUGUAACACCUCGCAGGGCAAACAGAGAACUAACUGUUCACACACAAAGUUAUUUAAUACACCUUAUUCCCUUUAUAGUGGUCCCGUGUGGCUCAGUUGGUAGAGCAUGGUGUUCGCAAUGCCAGGGUUGUGGGUUCGAUUCCCACGUGGGACCAGUACGAAAAGAAAAAAAAAAGGUAACCAUGGUUGACAGAGGAAGAACAAUGAUUCCAAGCACCACCCUCCUUUUGAAGCUUCC
This 11273-nucleotide long non-coding RNA is filed under the name Salmo salar (Atlantic salmon). RNAcentral describes it as "lncRNA (ENSSSAG00000112497.1)". The stretch from base 1003 to 1056 matches the Rfam family "UnaL2 LINE 3' element". The record is from RNAcentral. Lineage: Eukaryota; Metazoa; Chordata; Actinopteri; Salmoniformes; Salmonidae.